GAUGAACGCUGGCGGCGCGCCUAACACAUGCAAGUCGAACGAUUAAAGCACCUUCGGGUGUGUAUAAAGUGGCGAACGGCUGAGUAACACGUGGGCAACCUGCCCCUUUCAUUGGGAUAGCCACGGGAAACCGUGGAUAAUACCGAAUACUUCGAGACUUCCGCAUGGAAGACUCGAGAAAGCUCCGGCGGAGAGGGAUGGGCCCGCGGCCUGUUAGCUUGUUGGUGGGGUAACGGCCUACCAAGGCAAUGAUGGGUAGCUGGGUUGAGAGACCGACCAGCCAGAUUGGGACUGAGACACGGCCCAGACUCCUACGGGAGGCAGCAGUGGGGAAUCUUGCACGAUGGGCGAAAGCCUGAUGCAGCGACGCCGCGUGCGGGAUGAAGGCCUUCGGGUUGUAAACCGCUUUCAGCAGGGACGAGGCGAAAGUGACGGUACCUGCAGAAGAAGCCCCGGCUAACUACGUG
This 467-nucleotide ribosomal RNA is filed under the name uncultured bacterium. RNAcentral's name for it is "partial 16S ribosomal RNA". It matches the Rfam family "Bacterial small subunit ribosomal RNA", at positions 28 to 507 of the family's 1533-position model. The record is from RNAcentral.